This is an RNA transcript of Glycine soja, 3366 nucleotides long. It is a transcript of the gene named eukaryotic peptide chain release factor subunit 1-3-like, with no coding region annotated. The transcript has a single exon. Lineage: Eukaryota; Viridiplantae; Streptophyta; Magnoliopsida; Fabales; Fabaceae. The record is from RefSeq and is a predicted model, not a curated record.
AACAAAGAGCCAAAGACUAAUAAGACUCUAAUCUAUCUUUAAACAAAACAAAGACUAAUAAUACUCUAAUCUUUCUCAAAUCUCAAAUCCCAAAUCCCAAAUCCAAUAGAAAAUUUCUCGUUCCUCUCCACCAUCUUUGCUACAGAAGCUCACGCGAAAACCCUCGGCCGUGUGAGAGAGUCUCAUUCUUUCACCCCAAACAUACACAGAGGUGAGUACAUACACUUCACCUCAGUCUUUCAACUAUAAUAACUGUUCCUUUUAUUUGUUAUCAUAUUUGCUUCACCUCAAUCUUUUGUUUUUUUAAAAGCAAAGUUUGCUCCUUUGAUUUGUUUUGUUUAUGGGUACCGUUGUUAGUGGUAGCAGUGGAAGCAUUUGCAUCUGGGGUUGCAGUUUGACUUGAAUUUAUACCCUGCUUUGACUAGAAAAUUUGACCCCUUUUUUAUUUUAUUUUUAUUUUGUUAACUGAGGAGAAUGAAAAUACUGAAGAUGGUCUAACUAAUUUUGGGUCUUUUGAAAGAAAAUGGAGAAGGAAGGAGGAAAAAACAUGAACUUUGAUAGAUUGAGAUGGAGUUCAUGGGCUUCAGGCUUUGACACCAAUACUCAUCAAAUUUCUUUGCUUGCAGUUAACUUUUUUUAAAGGGUUCAAUAAAAGUGGCUAUCUACUUAUGGAUUGCUGUUUGUGCAAUAUGUUUUCUUGUUUUUGGGUUCAAAUUUUUUACCCGCCUACUCUGUCUGUUGCAUGUUUUAUUCAUGUGUUUGCUACUUGUGGGACCACUGUUUUUUUGUUGUUGUAAUUUUUGUUUCCUUUACCAGUUAUAAAGCAUGUUAGCUUUCAGGUAUUACUAUGUUAUGUUCAUGGACGGAUCCAGGAAUGUAUUAAAGAGGGAUCAAUUUUUUUUACAUAAUUAUUUAAAUAUCUAACUUAUAAUAAAUAAUAAGUUUAACAAAAAUGUUUAUUAUUGAUUUUAUGUGCAAAACUAGAUAUAUAAUUUACUACUGGAAGAAAACUAAGCAUAUAUAAUUUAAUGUUUACAUUUUCUUUUAUUAGUAUGUUUUUAAUUUUAAUUUUUCUUUUUUUUUUCAUAUAUACAUAAAGGAUCUUAAGGGAGGGGGCAAUGCCCCUACUUACCCUCCUUGGAUCCAGUUCUGUGAUUGUUUAUUAAGUGUGGGAAGAAUAUUAUUCCAUUUGUAUGGGUACCACAUACCAGGGUGUUUAGUACAAUACAGCGACUUAUCUAAUUGUUCUUCAAGCUAUGAUGUUGUACACCAUUUAUAAAUUAUAAUGUGUAAGCUUUAGCUAGAUAUUUUUGGUUGUAAGUUGUCACUAUCGUACACUGCUGCAUAGGUUAGGACCUUUAGCAUGAAUGAUAAGAAGUUAUUUUGAUUGUAAGCUUUAGCUAGACAUUCAUUUUUUAUAUCGCACCUUGAGCCUAGAGUUCUGUUUGAUCUGGGGUUGAGACACUACUGUUCUAGUAACUGUACUAUCAUCCUCAUAACUUUAGUUCUUCGCUGCUAAUGACUUAUUGUUGAGUCUGUAAUUUACCGGUGUUUGAUUCUCUCGGCCUUUAUCUCUAUACAUGCAUGUGCAUAUGUAGCAGAUAUACAUAAUAUUCCUUCAUAAUUGUAUUGAUAUUGUUCAAUAAUACAGUGCAAAUGUAUUAAAAUAUUUUUGAUUUUGUAAGUGCUUUUGAGUGAGGGCGAGCCCUGGUGCAGCGGUAAAGCUGCGCCUUGGUGACUUGUUGGUCAUGGGUUCGAAUCCGGAAACAGCCUCUUUGCAUAUGCAAGGGUAAGGCUGCGUACAACAUCCCUCCCCCAUACCUUCGCAUAGCGAAGAGCCUCUGGGCAAUAAGAUGCUGGGAGAUGAGUUUGGAACUGCUUCAAAUAUCAAAAGCAGGGUGAACCGGCAGUGUUGGGUGCCAUUACUUCUACUCAACAGAGGUUGAGACUGUAUAAUAAGGUUCCUCCAAAUGGUUUGGUUCUUUAUACUGGCACCAUUAUCACUGAAGAUGGCAAGGAAAAAAAGGUGACAAUUGAUUUCGAACCUUUCAAGCCUAUCAAUGCAUCACUUUACCUCUGUGACAACAAGUUUCACACAGAAGCUCUAAAUGAACUUUUAGAAUCGGAUGACAAGUUUGGUUUUAUUAUUAUGGAUGGAAACGGCACCCUUUUUGGGACAUUGACCGGAAACACUCGUGAGGUGCUUCAUAAAUUUACUGUUGAUCUCCCAAAGAAGCAUGGCCGAGGAGGGCAGUCAGCAUUGCGUUUUGCUCGUCUUCGCAUGGAAAAGUGGCACAACUAUGUAAGGAAGACUGCAGAACUUGCUACUCAGUUUUUCAUCAAUCCUGCUACGAGUCAACCUAAUGUUUCUGGACUUAUACUUGCUGGUUCAGCUGACUUCAAGACUGAGCUGAGCCAGUCAGAUAUGUUUGAUCCUCGUUUGCAAGCAAAAAUAUUGAAUGUGGUUGAUGUUUCCUAUGGUGGGGAAAAUGGCUUUAACCAAGCUAUUGAGUUAUCGGCGGAGAUGUUAUCUAAUGUAAAGUUCAUUCAGGAGAAACGCUUGAUCGGAAAAUACUUCGAAGAGAUCAGCCAGGACACUGGGAAAUACGUCUUUGGAGUUGAAGACACGUUGAAGGCAUUGGAGAUGGGUGCUGUGGAAACACUUAUUGUGUGGGAAAAUUUGGAUAUUAAUAGAUAUGUACUGAAAAAUAGUUCUACUGGCGAGAUUGUCAUAAAGCACUUGAACAAGUACCAAGAGGCUAAUCAGAGCAACUUCAGAGAUUCAGCCACCUCUGCAGAGUUAGAGGUUCAGGAGAAGAUGCCCUUGCUUGAGUGGUUUGCAAGCGAGUACAAAAAAUUUGGUUGCUCGCUGGAAUUCGUGACCAACAAAUCUCAAGAAGGAUCACAAUUUUGCAGAGGGUUUGGUGGUAUUGGAGGUACCCUUCGCUACCAGCUCGAUAUCAGAUCGUUUGAUGAGUUAUCUGAUGAUGGAGAAGUGUAUGAGGAUUCCGAUUAAGCAUCUGUUUAUACUCUUUUCAUCGGAGUUUUUGAAUAAUAGAAUGAAGCAUUCUAACCUCCAUUGCCAAAAAAAGUCCUAGAUAUUCCUUGAAUUUUAUGGUACCAAGACUUAGUCCUUUGUUUUUACAUUCAUCAAUUAUGUAUUAUUAACUUCGUUUGGUUAUUUAUUGUAUGCUUAAUAGUUAAUACAGCCCGGGGAAGUCAUUCUUCAUUUCAAAGAUAUGAAUGUUUCAAUGUCUUAAGGGCGGUGGCAUCUACAUUGUGUGAUGUAUUAUUAACUUCGUUUGGUUAUUUAUUGUAUGCUUAAUAGUUAAUACAGCCCGGGGAAGUCAUUCUUCAUUUCAAAGA